CAGUCGUGAGGAAGGCGGCGUCGUUAAUAGCGGCGUUGUUUGACGUUAGCGACAGAAGAAGCACCGGCUAACUCCGUGCCAGCAGCCGCGGUAAUACGGAGGGUGCGAGCGUUAAUCGGAAUUACUGGGCGUAAAGCGCAUGCAGGUGGUUUGUUAAGUCAGAUGUGAAAGACCCGGGGCGUUAACCUCGGAAUAGCAUUUGUAAACUAGGCAGACUAGAGUACUGUAGAGGGGGGUAGGAAUUUCUAGGUGUAGCGGUGAAAUAGCGUAGAGAUCUGAAGGAAUACCGGUGGCGAAGGCGGCCCCCUCGGACAGAUACUGACACUCAGAUGCGAAAGCGUGGGGAGCAAACAGGAUUAGAUACCCUGGUAG
Molecule: ribosomal RNA, 372 nt
Filed under: uncultured bacterium
Lineage: Bacteria
Description: bacterial SSU rRNA
Rfam family: Bacterial small subunit ribosomal RNA
Source: RNAcentral